UUUAUGAAAAAUAUUUUUAAAUAAGAAUGUUUAAGUAUAUAGAAAGAAAUUUAAUAGAAGAUAAUAGUGUAUAGUAUUGUAAAAGAAAGUUUUAAUAUUAAUUAUUUAAUUGAUUAAAAGAAAUUUUGGAAUGUGCCUUGUGUAUCAUGAAAUAACAAAUUUAUUUUUGUAAAAGAUUGUCCCGAAAAAGAGAUAGUUAAACUAUUAAAAAAGUUUUUGUAUUAAUAAAAUUAAUAAUAGUAGUUUAGAGGUGAAAUGCCAGUCGAGCUUUUAUAUCUGGUUUUAAAUAAAACGAAUUUAAUUUGGGUUUUACUUUAAUAAGAGUAAAAUUUAAGAGUAGGAAGGUGAGCUUCUUAUUCAAUUUAUGUUAAAAAUAUAAAUUAAAAAUAAGUAUUUUUGAAAAUUAGGCUUAUAAGCAGCCAUAAUAAUAAAGUGUUUAAGCUAAUAUUAAAAGUGUAUUAAUAUUUAAAAUAAUUUUAUUGUUGUAAUUUAAAUUUUCUGUAAAUUAAAAAUAGAAAGUUAUUAUGUUAUUAUUAGUAUAAAUUUAUUUUAUUUAUAAAAAUUAUAUAAAUUUUUUAAUAAAAUAUAAUAUGAAUAGAUAUUUAAAAAAAACUCGGCAAAUAAGAUUCUUGCCUGUUUAACAAAAACAUGUCUGUGUGGAGUUAUAUACAGUUUGACCUGCUCACUGAUUUAAUUAAAGAGCCGCAGUAUUUUGACUGUGCGAAGGUAGCAUAAUAGAUUGUCUUUUAAAUGGAGGCUGGAAUGAAUGGUUGGACAAAGUAUCAUCUGUUUCUUAAAUAAAUAUUGAAUUUGACUUUUAAGUUAAAAGGCUUAAAUAAAAUAAAAAGACGAUAAGACCCUAUAAAUCUUUACAUAAAUUAUAUUUUAAAUUUUAAUUUAUAAUUUUAUAAAAUAUAAAAGUAUAAUUUUGUUGUGCUGGGGCGGCGUAGAUAUAUAAAUGAACUGUCUAUGAAAUUAAAUCAAUAAUAGUUGAUUAUUAAUAUUGAUCCUUUAAUAGAUUAAAAGAUUAAGAUACUUUAGGGAUAACAGCGUUAUUUUUUCUGAGAGUUCUUAUCGAAGAAAAAGUUUGCGACCUCGAUGUUGAAUUAAAGUUUCUUUAUGGUGUAGCAGCUAUAAGAGAGAGUCUGUUCGACUUUUAAUACUUUACAUGAUUUGAGUUCAGACCGGCGUGAGCCAGGUUGGUUUCUAUCUUUUAUUGAGAAUAAAAUUAUUUUAGUACGAAAGGACCAAAUAAUUAAAAUAUUUUUAUAAAUGGAAUAUUAUUAACAACUGCUUAAUUUAA
RNAcentral lists this ribosomal RNA (1303 nucleotides) under Pagurus longicarpus (long-clawed hermit crab). RNAcentral describes it as "16S ribosomal RNA". The stretch from base 841 to 1217 matches the Rfam family "Bacterial large subunit ribosomal RNA", at positions 2072 to 2648 of the family's 2925-position model. Lineage: Eukaryota; Metazoa; Arthropoda; Malacostraca; Decapoda; Paguridae. The record is from RNAcentral.